UACGUAGGGGCAAGCGUUGUCCGGAAUCAUUGGGCGUAAAGAGCGCGUAGGCGGCCCUGUAAGUCCGCUGUGAAAGUCAAGGGCUCAACCCUUGAAUGCCGGUGGAUACUGCAGGGCUAGAGUCCGGAAGAGGCGAGUGGAAUUCCUGGUGUAGCGGUGAAAUGCGCAGAUAUCAGGAAGAACACCCGUGGCGAAGGCGGCUCUCUGGGACGGUACUGACGCUGAGACGCGAAAGCGUGGGGAGCGAACAGG
Molecule: ribosomal RNA, 252 nt
Filed under: uncultured bacterium
Lineage: Bacteria
Description: partial 16S ribosomal RNA
Rfam family: Bacterial small subunit ribosomal RNA
Source: RNAcentral